GCGACCCGAAAGAUGGUGAACUAUGCCUGAAUAGGGCGAAGCCAGGGGAAACCCUGGUGGAAGCCCGCAGCGAUUCUGACGUGCAAAUCGAUCGUCAAAUUUGGGUAUAGGGGCGAAAGACUAAUCGAACCGUCUAGUAGCCGGUUCCCUCCGAAGUUUCCCUCAGGAUAGCUGGAGCCCGGUGCAGUUUUAUCAGGUAAAGCGAAUGAUUAGAGGUCUCGGGGUCGAAACGACCUCGACCUAUUCUCAAACUUUAAAUGGGUAAGAGGUCCGGCUUGCUCGAUUGAAGUCGGACGCGGAAUGCCGGGGCUCCUAGUGGGCCAUUUUUGGUAAGCAGAACUGGCGAUGUGGGAUGAACCGAAAGCCGGGUUAAGGUGCCCGAAUCGACGCUCAGCAGAUACCAGGAAG
Molecule: ribosomal RNA, 408 nt
Filed under: Mycale laevis
Lineage: Eukaryota; Metazoa; Porifera; Demospongiae; Poecilosclerida; Mycalidae
Description: eukaryotic LSU rRNA
Rfam family: Eukaryotic large subunit ribosomal RNA
Source: RNAcentral